RNAcentral lists this ribosomal RNA (500 nucleotides) under uncultured bacterium. RNAcentral describes it as "bacterial SSU rRNA". It matches the Rfam family "Bacterial small subunit ribosomal RNA", at positions 28 to 529 of the family's 1533-position model. The record is from RNAcentral.
GACGAACGCUGGCGGCGUGCCUAACACAUGCAAGUCGAGCGGGGUUGAAGCGAGGGGUAACUCGGACUUCUACCUAGCGGCGGACGGGUGAGUAACGCGUGGGCAACCUGCCUCAAGGUUUGGGAUAACAGCUCGAAAGGGCUGCUAAUACCGGAUAUGCCUGUGGCCUCGCAUGGGGCUAUGAGCAAAGGGGAAACCCGCCUUGAGAUGGGCCCGCGUCCCAUCAGCUAGUUGGUGAGGUGAAGGCUCACCAAGGCGACGACGGGUAGCCGGCCUGAGAGGGUGACCGGCCACACUGGGACUGAGACACGGCCCAGACUCCUACGGGGGGCAGCAGUGGGGGAUCUUGCACAAUGGGCGAAAGCCUGAUGCAGCGACGCCGCGUGAGCGAAGAAGGCCUUCGGGUUGUAAAGCUCUGUCUGGAGGGAGUGAAACAAAUAGACGGUACCUCCGGAGGAAGCCACGGCUAACUACGUGCCAGCAGCCGCGGUAAACGUCUA